This 763-nucleotide ribosomal RNA is filed under the name Rusavskia sorediata. RNAcentral describes it as "LSU rRNA". It matches the Rfam family "Eukaryotic large subunit ribosomal RNA", at positions 165 to 944 of the family's 3401-position model. The record is from RNAcentral. Lineage: Eukaryota; Fungi; Ascomycota; Lecanoromycetes; Teloschistales; Teloschistaceae.
CGGGCGACGCGCCGGUCUAAGUCCCUUGGAACGGGGCGUCAUAGAGGGUGAGAAUCCCGUAUGCGACCGGUGACCGAGCCUCGGUGAAACCCCUUCGACGAGUCGAGUUGUUUGGGAAUGCAGCUCAAAAAGGGUGGUAAAUUUCAUCUAAAGCUAAAUACCGGCCAGAGACCGAUAGCGCACAAGUAGAGUGAUCGAAAGAUGAAAAGCACUUUGGAAAGAGAGUCAAACAGUACGUGAAAUUGUUGAAAGGGAAGCGCUUGCAACCAGACCUGCCCGCGGGUGAUCAGCCGUCCUUCGGGGCGGUGCACUCGCCCGCGAUCAGGCCAGCAUCGGUUCGGGCGGUCGGAUAAAGGCCCUGGGAACGUGGCUCCCCUCGGGGAGUGUUAUAGCCCUCGGUGCAAUGCGGCCCGCCCGGACCGAGGACCGCGCUUCGGCUAGGAUGCUGGCGUAAUGGUUGUAAGCGGCCCGUCUUGAAACACGGACCAAGGAGUCGACCAACUAUGCGAGUGUUUGGGUGUCAAACCCACACGCGCAAUGAAAGUGAACGGAGGUGGGAACCCCUCGCGGGGCGCACCAUCGACCGAUCCAGAUGUCUUCGGAUGGAUUUGAGUACGAGCAUAGCUGGUCGGACCCGAAAGAUGGUGAACUAUGCCUGAAUAGGGUGAAGCCAGAGGAAACUCUGGUGGAGGCUCGCAGCGGUUCUGACGUGCAAAUCGAUCGUCAAAUUUGGGCAUAGGGGCGAAAGACUAAUCGAACCAUC